UAAUUGAAGAGUUUGAUCAUGGCUCAGAUUGAACGCUGGCGGCAGGCCUAACACAUGCAAGUCGGGCGGUAACAGGGAGAAGCUUGCUUCUCUGCUGACGAGCGGCGGACGGGUGAGUAAUGUAUGGGGAUCUGCCUGAUGGCGGGGGAUAACUACUGGAAACGGUAGCUAAUACCGCAUAAUGUCUUCGGACCAAAGCGGGGGACCUCCGGGCCUCGCGCCAUCAGAUGAACCCAUAUGGGAUUAGCUAGUAGGUGAGGUAACGGCUUACCUAGGCGACGAUCCCUAGCUGGUCUGAGAGGAUGAUCAGCCACACUGGGACUGAGACACGGCCCAGACUCCUACGGGAGGCAGCAGUGGGGAAUAUU
RNAcentral lists this ribosomal RNA (368 nucleotides) under Morganella morganii subsp. morganii. RNAcentral describes it as "bacterial SSU rRNA". It matches the Rfam family "Bacterial small subunit ribosomal RNA", at positions 1 to 365 of the family's 1533-position model. The record is from RNAcentral. Lineage: Bacteria; Pseudomonadati; Pseudomonadota; Gammaproteobacteria; Enterobacterales; Morganellaceae.